UGAGCCUGCGUUAGAUUAGCUAGUUGGUGGGGUAAAGGCCUACCAAGGCGACGAUCUAUAGCUGGUCUGAGAGGACGAUCAGCCACACUGGGACUGAGACACGGCCCAGACUCCUACGGGAGGCAGCAGUGGGGAAUAUUGGACAAUGGGCGGAAGCCUGAUCCAGCAAUACCGCGUGUGUGAAGAAGGCCUUAGGGUUGUAAAGCACUUUCAAUUGGGAGGAAAACCUGCCGGUCAAUACCCGGUAGCUUGACAUUACCUUUAGAAGAAGCACCGGCUAACUCCGUGCCAGCAGCCGCGGUAAUACGGAGGGUGCGAGCGUUAAUCGGAAUUACUGGGCGUAAAGCGUGCGUAGGCGGUUCGUUAAGUCAGAUGUGAAAGCCCUGGGCUCAACCUGGGAACGGCAUUUGAAACUGGCGGACUAGAGUUUAGUAGAGGGGAGUGGAAUUUCAGGUGUAGCGGUGAAAUGCGUAGAUAUCUGAAGGAACACCAGUGGCGAAGGCGACUCC
Molecule: ribosomal RNA, 509 nt
Filed under: uncultured bacterium
Lineage: Bacteria
Description: bacterial SSU rRNA
Rfam family: Bacterial small subunit ribosomal RNA
Source: RNAcentral